RNAcentral lists this unclassified non-coding RNA (376 nucleotides) under soil metagenome. RNAcentral describes it as "partial contains 5.8S ribosomal RNA, internal transcribed spacer 2, and large subunit ribosomal RNA". The stretch from base 1 to 120 matches the Rfam family "5.8S ribosomal RNA", at positions 35 to 154 of the family's 154-position model. The record is from RNAcentral.
GUUGAAGAACGCAGCGAAAUGCGAUAAGUAAUGUGAAUUGCAGAAUUCAGUGAAUCAUCGAAUCUUUGAACGCAUCUUGCGCUCCUUGGUAUUCUGAGGAGCAUGCCUGUUUGAGUGUCAUUAAAUUCUCAACUACACUGACUUUGAAUUGGUGUGGCUUGGAUUUGGGGGGAAAAUUGUUGUGGGCUUUUUGUAUAGUCUGCUCCCCUGAAAUUGAUUAGCGGUACCUUUGUGGAACUGUCUACAGGUGUGAUAAUUAUCUACAUCUUAGACAUCUGCUGGAAUGCUGCUUUCUAAACCUCACUUGUAUUGACAAUCUUGACCUCAAAUCAGGUAGGACUACCCGCUGAACUUAAGCAUAUCAAUAAGCGGAGGA